UUGAUGCCUUAAUCUUAUAUGAUUAAUAGAAUCCUUUGUAUAUAAAUAUCAAGAAACAGUUUGCUCCAGCUCAGAGCUAGUUUUCUUUUCUUUUCAACAAAUUAAACCAGCCUCAUGACCAGUGGGAGUGAAGCACUUGACAUCCUACAAUGCUGGUGAUUCUUAAUUUAUGCCCUGAGGGACUAAUACUGAGAAUAUGUUCAGGGUACCAUAGCAACUGCAGAAUCAAAGCAAUGAUCUCAUAUGGCAAGUUUGUAGCUGAGAGAACACUUCAGGAUUCUGUGGGAUCACCUGGGGCAGCACUAUUCCAAGUGUUCAUGGUGUGGCAUCUUGAUAAGGGACACCUAAUUGGUGUUAAUUUAUCCAAAUUAAAGACAACUUUAAAGCAUCUCUUUCCAUAGAGAAGAAUGGUCUCAUAAAAAUGUGUAACAAAAUGGCUACAAAUAAAUGGAGAAGCACAUCAUCCAACCUGGUGGAGAAUGAAGGCUCCUCAUGUGAAGAAUGUCAGAGAACACUACCUGCUUUAAAAGACACCAGUAUAUAAAACAGAAGUGGCUAUCAUUGUUUCCAAAUCAUAUAAACAAGUGAACAGAUAAGUAAACUUACUUACA
Long non-coding RNA from Felis catus (domestic cat), 611 nucleotides. RefSeq lists it as uncharacterized. The transcript has 3 exons. Lineage: Eukaryota; Metazoa; Chordata; Mammalia; Carnivora; Felidae. The record is from RefSeq and is a predicted model, not a curated record.